Gadus chalcogrammus (walleye pollock) is the source of this 1328-nucleotide long non-coding RNA. RefSeq lists it as uncharacterized. The transcript is spliced from 3 exons. The record is from RefSeq and is a predicted model, not a curated record. Lineage: Eukaryota; Metazoa; Chordata; Actinopteri; Gadiformes; Gadidae.
GCUGCAGACAAGCCACGUUGUUUUAUUUGCUAAGGUUUUAUAUUUAUAGCUUUCUUCAAGUGAGAUUUAAGUUAACCCCAUUGGCUACAAGCAGGCAAAGUGUUCUACGGUGUGAUGAUGUCUUGAAGAUGUGCGACAUUAAACCAUCAAUAAAAGGAGCCGGAGUCUCGCGUAUUCACAAUGGGCGUUACAGUAGAACACCGCACUGCAUUGGGGAAGGCUCCAAGAUGGACGUAACACGGAGCUGAGACGACGUCGACGUCACCGCACACUGUUAAAAGGAGGACCCAAGUCAAAGAAAUGAUGACUCCAGCAGACAUAAUCAAAGUCUUCGAGUCAGAUUUCACUGAGUGGACCAGUGAAGAAGUUUCAAUGUCACAAGAAGACAUCAAGUUUUUGGCAAAGAUAAAGAUGGCAUCAAGCAGAAAAAUUCUAAUGGACACUACGAAAUGCAAUUGCCUUUUAAGGAAGAAAGUCCAACUCUGCCAAACAACAAAGCGUACGCAGAAAAUCGUCUUAAAUGCCUGGAGAAACGUUUAACAAAGGAUGAACAACACCACAAGGAUUAUGUGGCUUUGAUGGAGGACAUGAUCGCAAGAGAUGAUGCCACAUCCAGAAAUCAGUGGAAGACGGCAAAGGUUACCGAAGUCUUCCCAGGAGCAGAUGGGAAAGUCAGAAAGCUCAAACUACUGCUUAGUGACACAACACGAGACAGUAAAGGCACGGACACAACUAGACCAUUUUAUUGGAAAGGUCCAUGCAUACAUUAAACUGUGCUUUUGCUUGAAGCUGAGUAAGAGGUCAAUUUAUUUUUGAAAGUGAUUUAACCAUAUUGUCUGAUUUUACAAUGUUUUGUUUUGAGAAAGAUGCUGUUCACUAUGUGAAGUCUGUUAGAAAUCAUACGUGGUUUGAUUUCUGAUGGUGGGAGUGUAACUGCAGGCAAUGUUUUCCUGUUCUGUAAAAUCGUAUGUGUAAUUCAGUCUUUGACCUCAAGGUGGACUCUCGUAUUAUUUCUUGUAAAUGUGGUUUUAUUUCUUGGUCUCAUUCGUUGUUUUUUACUCUGAAGCUUCCAGAAGCUAGCGUUGCAGCUUCAGACAAGCCACGUUUUUUAUUUGAUAAGGUUUUAUAUUUUAAGCUUUCUUCAAGCGAGAUCUAAGUUAACCCCAUUGGCUACAAGCAGGCAAAGUGGUUAGUAUUGUGUUUUUGUUUCAAUUUUAUUUGCCAUGAAAGAUUUAUGUGCGCUUAGAUAAUUGUUUGUGUGUUAAGCUAAUUUCACGACUGUAUUGUAGUUCUACGAUGUCUACAAGAGGUGCGACAUUAAACCAUCA